RNAcentral lists this ribosomal RNA (301 nucleotides) under uncultured bacterium. RNAcentral's name for it is "partial 16S ribosomal RNA". It matches the Rfam family "Bacterial small subunit ribosomal RNA", at positions 509 to 807 of the family's 1533-position model. The record is from RNAcentral.
CAGUCGCCACGGUAAUACGAAGGGUGCAAGCGUUACUCGGAAUUACUGGGCGUAAAGCGUGCGUAGGUGGUUCGUUAAGUCCGAUGUGAAAGCCCUGGGCUCAACCUGGGAAUGGCAUUGGAUACUGGCGGGCUAGAGUGCGGUAGAGGGUAGUGGAAUUCCCGGUGUAGCAGUGAAAUGCGUAGAGAUCGGGAGGAACAUCCGUGGCGAAGGCGACUACCUGGACCAGCACUGACACUGAGGCACGAAAGCGUGGGGAGCAAACAGGAUUAGAUACCCCGGUAGUCCCUGUCUCUUAUAC